CUCCCGGUCGGUUCAGUCGCAUUUCAGACGUUCCAUCAACUGCGCUCUGCCAAGUUCCGCAUUACGUCGUCUUCCGCGCGGAAAAUCUGUUCUUCUGGCGACCACCGCGAACGUUCCAUAGGGAUAUGACGCGCGAACAAAAGUCGCUCCGGAAAGUGAAAUCAAGAAGAAGUCGGAAAAACUGUGCAUCAAUCAUCGCGGGUGCUGUGAAGUGUUAGCGAUCGUGUAUUUGUGAA
Aedes aegypti (yellow fever mosquito) is the source of this 236-nucleotide long non-coding RNA. RefSeq lists it as uncharacterized. Lineage: Eukaryota; Metazoa; Arthropoda; Insecta; Diptera; Culicidae. The record is from RefSeq and is a predicted model, not a curated record. The transcript has 2 exons.